This 253-nucleotide ribosomal RNA is filed under the name uncultured bacterium. RNAcentral's name for it is "partial 16S ribosomal RNA". It matches the Rfam family "Bacterial small subunit ribosomal RNA", at positions 524 to 776 of the family's 1533-position model. The record is from RNAcentral.
UACGAAGGGGGCUAGCGUUGCUCGGAAUUACUGGGCGUAAAGCGCACGUAGGCGGAUAUUUAAGUCGGGGGUGAAAUCCCGGGGCUCAACCCCGGAACUGCCUUCGAUACUGGGUAUCUUGAGUUCGGAAGAGGUGAGUGGAAUUGCGAGUGUAGAGGUGAAAUUCGUAGAUAUUCGCAGGAACACCAGUGGCGAAGGCGGCUCACUGGUCCGAUACUGACGCUGAGGUGCGAAAGCGUGGGGAGCAAACAGG